This is a long non-coding RNA of Limulus polyphemus (Atlantic horseshoe crab), 1384 nucleotides long. RefSeq lists it as uncharacterized. NCBI's taxonomy places the organism in Eukaryota, Metazoa, Arthropoda, Merostomata, Xiphosura, Limulidae. The transcript has 3 exons. The record is from RefSeq and is a predicted model, not a curated record.
UCGUGAAGCAGUUGCCUGUGCUUUGGAAGCUAAUGGUAUCCCUAUGACUCAUCCAUCCUUUCGAGCAUGUGGAAAGAAACUGUUUGCUGUUUGUAAGACAUUUGCUAAGGAUGUGAUUGGUCACGGAAGUACCUCUACAAUGUUGAAAAAGAUUGCAAAUGCUCAUGUAAAACAGGUCAUAGAAUUUGAAAGGAUGAAACUUUCUACAACAUAAAAGUUUCUAAUAUUAAACUUUAAGAUCAACAUCUCUUCUAUCUUGAUACGUCCUGAUUAACAUCAUCCUUAUCCUGAUCAUGCAUAAUUGUUUUAAAUUAAUUUCUUAGUAAAACAACUUUGCAAUCAUGUAACUCUUGAUUCAUAAUACAGUUUUCUUUCUGCUUAACUUUAGGACACAGAAAUAUUGUUUAAAUGUCAAUCAGAACAUGACAACAAAAGAUCUGUUGCAAACUCUUUCAAUUUGUGAAUGCAUCAGAUGUCCUGUUUCUUCAAAUUGUAAUUUAACUCACUAUGUUACUUUAGAGCUCAUACAUAAAGUGGAAAAAAAAUAUUUGGAAUGAAAUUAUUUUAUUUUCCUUCACUAUUUGACUUUCUUGUAAACAAGAGACUUUCAUAUUCUGUUUGCAGUAUUUAUUAAUCACAUUUAUUAAUAUAUUUCUUGGUCAUACAACAAUAUUAUUAUGUUAGGAAAAAUUGAGAAUCAGAUGGAGAAAUUAAAACCAACUAGGCUUAUAUUGAUAAGAUCAGCAAGGAACUCAUACUGUUGGUAAUCCAUUCAGGAAACUGCACUGUUUCCGGUGCAUUGUUUUUUUCUCAACAAACGUUAAAAAUGUCAUUACUGAAAAUAAAGGUCUUCUUUACUUAAUGUAAUACAUGUAACUGUAGUAAUAUUUAGUUUUAAUAUGUUCUCUAAACUUGAAAUUCUUAUUCAUACUUGACUUUAAUUCACCCUCUUUUAAAGUUUUUCUUAGUAUUUGACAAAUUUAUCAAUUACACGAAAUUUACCACUAUUAUACAGAAACAUCAAUUAUUGCUGUUUGAUACCUGUAAAUUUUUUAAAUUAGAACAUUGAUUGGCAAAUAAUUUGUUUCAAUUUACUAUUCUGAAAAACAGAAUAUGAUUGAACUUUCUUCCUGCAUUUUUGUUGCAAAUUUUUACCCUAGUUUAACAAUGCUUACAUUAAACAUUCAACCAAAAGAACAUGUAUUGAAUUUAGUAUAUGAAUAAUGACACUUGAAUGUUUGAGUGAGCAGCAUGUUUUAAAUUAAAUUUUGUCCUAGAAGUUUUUAUCCAUCUAAAAACAAUAUUUUAGAAAAUAUAUAAAUGUCAGUGAUUUAGUAUCUUAUGACAUUGUGAAGUGUGUUCAAUAUUAAAUUUGUUUUUUUAA